CCUAGGUGAGGCAGCAGUGGGGAAUAUUGGGCAAUGGGCGCAAGCCUGACCCAGCAACGCCGCGUGAAGGAAGAAGGCUUUCGGGUUGUAAACUUCUUUUCUGAGGGACGAAGAAAAUGACGGUACCUGACUAAGAAGCCCCGGCUAAAUACGUGCCAGCAGCCGCGGUAAUACGUAUGGGGCAAGCGUUAUCCGGCUGUACUGGGUGUAAAGGGAGCGCAGGCGGCCUGCCAAGGCUGGUGUGAAAACCCGGGGCCCAACCCCGGGCCUGCAUUGGAAACUGGCGGGCUGGAGUGUCGGAGGGGCAGGCGGAAUUCCUAGUGGAGCGGUGAAAUGCGGAGAUAUUAGGAGGAACACCGGUGGCGAAGGCGGCCUGCUGGACGAUGACUGACGCGGAGGCUCGAAAGCGUGGGGAGCAAACAGGAUUAGAUACCCUAAUAGUC
RNAcentral lists this ribosomal RNA (443 nucleotides) under uncultured bacterium. RNAcentral's name for it is "partial 16S ribosomal RNA". It matches the Rfam family "Bacterial small subunit ribosomal RNA", at positions 338 to 795 of the family's 1533-position model. The record is from RNAcentral.